Zingiber officinale is the source of this 849-nucleotide long non-coding RNA. RefSeq lists it as uncharacterized. Lineage: Eukaryota; Viridiplantae; Streptophyta; Magnoliopsida; Zingiberales; Zingiberaceae. The transcript has 4 exons. The record is from RefSeq and is a predicted model, not a curated record.
UCGAUCCACCCAACCCGAACCUUUCUUCCUCUCUUCCCGACGCCGAAUUCCCCCUUCCUUCUCCGGCGAUUCCUCCUCGCCCGAUCGCCGACCACCGUGAGUUCACCGCCGGAAACGAUCUUCCUUCUCCUCCAGCGUGCCUCGGCAGAGUCUCCCUCCUUCUCCCUCUCGAUGCCUGGAGUGUUUCUCCUCUUCCUCUCUCGCCCGCGGACGACUCGACGCCGACGGCUUCCCCAGCGAUCUCGGCUUCGUCGCGUCACCAGGGGGAAAGCGUCACCCGAUCUUGAUGGCUCCGACCAUCUCCGACGCAGCGAUCUCCUCUUUGGCUGUGCUGGCACACGAGGCAAUGACUCGGCGGAGCUAGGGCAUGGCAGGGAGAGGUUGAUUCGUGUCUUUUCCAGCCGAUCGAGAUUCUUUUGCCUCUCCUCUUCGAUCUACUUGCUGGGGGUGAACUGGAUCAUCAUCAGUGGAAGUGGAUCACACGACGCCAACUAGAGGCGAUUGGUUAAGGGGAUGGCAUUGGAACAACUUUUUGAUGAAGCUCCUCUGAGCAUAUCACUGUCCUCUACAUAUUGUGGUUGAGUAAGGCUUCGGUUGAAGGAUUGGGGUCUAUUAAGGGGGGUUCUUGGUGGCUGUUGGCAAGUUCUUGUGGGGCUGUGAAUUUGGAAUUGUGCCAUACUUCAAGGCCUUUUAUAUGGGAUGAUCAUCACGAUGGGGGAUUUAUUCUGGACACGAUCUACGUAUCAAGGCGGGUAUUUCUUCCUUGGCCUCUAUGUAGAUUUUCUUGUACUUAGUGCAUGGUUAUUAUUGGAUGAAUUAGGCUGCUUUAUCUUAUAUCAUGAUCGGUUG